AAAUUGAAGAGUUUGAUCAUGGCUCAGAUUGAACGCUGGCGGCAGGCCUAACACAUGCAAGUCGAACGGUAACAGGAAGCAGCUUGCUGCUUUGCUGACGAGUGGCGGACGGGUGAGUAAUGUCUGGGAAACUGCCUGAUGGAGGGGGAUAACUACUGGAAACGGUGGCUACGGUGGCUA
RNAcentral lists this ribosomal RNA (180 nucleotides) under Salmonella enterica. RNAcentral describes it as "partial 16S ribosomal RNA". It matches the Rfam family "Bacterial small subunit ribosomal RNA", at positions 1 to 174 of the family's 1533-position model. The record is from RNAcentral. Lineage: Bacteria; Pseudomonadati; Pseudomonadota; Gammaproteobacteria; Enterobacterales; Enterobacteriaceae.